CAACCAUCAAGCCCAAGCUUGGUAUUGGAUGCCACCUGGCUUUGGUGCAUCUCAAAACUAGUGGCGGUGCCAUUUAGCUUCAAGCGUAGUAAAAUUUCUCGCUUCUGGAGUUUAGGUUGUGCCUGCUUUAGAACCCCAUAAUUUAUG
This 147-nucleotide unclassified non-coding RNA is filed under the name uncultured Ascomycota. Its description in RNAcentral is "sequence contains ITS2". Lineage: Eukaryota; Fungi; Ascomycota. The record is from RNAcentral.